UGGUCAGUCAAGGUUGAUGCUUUAAUUGGG
This 30-nucleotide non-coding RNA is filed under the name Rattus norvegicus (Norway rat). Lineage: Eukaryota; Metazoa; Chordata; Mammalia; Rodentia; Muridae. The record is from RNAcentral.